Molecule: long non-coding RNA, 1455 nt
Filed under: Rattus norvegicus (Norway rat)
Lineage: Eukaryota; Metazoa; Chordata; Mammalia; Rodentia; Muridae
Description: long non-coding RNA NONRATT029452
Source: RNAcentral
UUUUAACAAGAGCUACAAACCUGCUACUGGGCCCUUCUUCGCCCCCUUUUUGUAUGACUAGAAAGAUAUGAGAGAGGAGAUCCACUGAAAGCCUUUACUCUCCCAAGAAUUCGGCCUUCCACAAGAGAGAGAAACGUGCCUCAUGGCUGAGGUAUCAGCCCUGUUGGCUUAAUACUGUUUCCCCACAGGGCCAAGUCAGUGGACAAACAAAGGAACAUUUUCUUCAAUCAUGAUUUCAUAGCAAGCAAAGCUUAGGGAAAAAAAAGUCCGAAACUCAUUAUUCUUCAACUUUGAGAACAUCUAUAUGGGGCCCACAGGACUACACGGAGCAAAAGCCUGAUGUAUUCAAUAGCACUGUAGAGAAACAGAACCUUGGAGGCUUUAUGGGGCCUUGUCUCUACUACUGACAGAAUAAAAUUAAAAAGAGACCCAGUGCCUUGAUUUUUUUUUAAGCUAGACCUACCUUAUGAAGGAAAUCCUCCUGCAACUUCAGGAUGAUCCGAGAACUGUUUUCUCUGUUCCCUGGUCCACAGUGAGACCAAACCUAAAAAGAAUAAUUACCUUUCCCUCACUGGAAAUCAACAAAUUUGUUUUUUUUUUUGUUUUCUGUUUAGUGAUUGAGCAAUGUUAUAGAAUUUCAGGCCUGUGGAAGGAAUUGAAAAGUGGUGGAUAGAGGAAUGUGUGUCUGAAAAUUCCCAUCAGAUUGAACACCGAGAUCCACUGUGCGCAGCUUUCAAACUGCAUUAAAUUGGGUAGACAUCCCACUGCUUCCUGGGUCCAUGCAAACAGAAAGUCCAAGUUUUAUACAAUUAGGCGGGAGGGUGUUCCAUUCAGAAAAGUCCAUAGUAGUGUUUCUCUGCUCUCUCAGUUCAUGCCAACCUAGGGUAGAAACGAGGCUACAGUGAGACAGAAAGGGGGAUUCUUCAUAAGGUAUCCCUACAAAGUCACCUUUCCCAUAAAAAAGAGGAAAAAUAGAGACUAAAAUAAGCCAGGACUCUCAUAUGCAACUGUGGCUUCCAAGUACAACUCUUUCUCCCUCCAGUCAUGUAGUCGCCCACAGACUGGCUUUUAAAAGCUAGGUUUGGCUGCUGAGUGGGAAGUGAGCCGUUCCCAAAGACGCUUCGAGCCCCUCUCUUGAUCACUUCAGAAAGUGUUCCGUUCCAUAUGCAGAACUAUUUACUAGUGCAACAUAAAACAAAGCCUGUUGUCUAUACCCUCACUUUCUGUAGUCUUCCCUGUUCUUUUAUGAUUAUCAAGUCAUCUGUUCAUACGUUCUAAAGAUACAUUAUGUGAAAUCAUAGUUUGGCAUAUGGGAAUGGAGAGUGAAUUCUUUACAAACUUUUUAAAAUAAUCCCAUUUAUAUCACCGAAGACAUUUUGGAUGUUAUUGUAUAUGAGUAUAUAAAUUUUUCAUGUUUUAUUUUGCAUUGGAAUAAAGCUUUAUUCAGUCAGUGAG